This is a non-coding RNA of Arachis ipaensis, 205 nucleotides long. Lineage: Eukaryota; Viridiplantae; Streptophyta; Magnoliopsida; Fabales; Fabaceae. The record is from RefSeq and is a predicted model, not a curated record.
CCAUCUUCAAUUCACACACCACCAUAAUCGAAUUGAAACAAAAAAAAUUAUUCAUCGUAGAAGCUUACCUUAUUAAUCAUGUGGGAGUCCGGGUCGUCAUCAGUAUUCACGAGAGGCAGCGCCUUGUCUUCCUCCGAUGCCAUUUUGAUGAGAGUAAAGCUAGGUUAACAAAUGGAUUUUUGGGCUCGUAUCCUAUCAACGUCUU